This 450-nucleotide ribosomal RNA is filed under the name uncultured bacterium. RNAcentral describes it as "partial 16S ribosomal RNA". It matches the Rfam family "Bacterial small subunit ribosomal RNA", at positions 354 to 796 of the family's 1533-position model. The record is from RNAcentral.
GUGGGGAAUAUUCCGCAAUGGACGAAAGUCUGACGGAGCAACGCCGCGUGAGUGAUGAAGGUUUUCGGACUGUAAAGCUCUGUUGUUUAGGACGAAAGUGCCUGUUGCAAAUAGUUACAGGUAUUGACGGUACUGAACGAGGAAGCCACGGCUAACUACGUGCCAGCAGCCGCGGUAAUACGUAGGUGGCAAGCGUUGUCCGGAAUUAUUGGGCGUAAAGAGCAUGUAGGCGGGAAUCUAAGUCUGUUGUGAAAAUGCGGGGCUCAACCCCGUAGUGCGAUGGAAACUGGGUUUCUUGAGUGCAGGAGAGGAAAGGGGAAUUCCCAGUGUAGCGGUGAAAUGCGUAGAUAUUGGGAGGAACACCAGUGGCGAAGGCGCCUUUCUGGACUGUGUCUGACGCUGAGAUGCGAAAGCCAGGGUAGCGAACGGGAUUAGAAACCCGAGUAGUCC